This 497-nucleotide ribosomal RNA is filed under the name uncultured bacterium. RNAcentral's name for it is "partial 16S ribosomal RNA". It matches the Rfam family "Bacterial small subunit ribosomal RNA", at positions 28 to 507 of the family's 1533-position model. The record is from RNAcentral.
GAUGAACGCUGGCGGCGUGCCUAAUACAUGCGAGUCGAGCGAACAGACGAGGAGCUUGCUCCUCUGACGUUAGCGGCGGACGGGUGAGUAACACGUGGAUAACCUACCUAUAAGACUGGGAUAACUUCGGGAAACCGGAGCUAAUACAGGAUAAUAUAUUGAACCGCAUGGUUCAAUAGUGAAAGACGGUUUUGCUGUCACUUAUAGAUGGAUCCGCGCCGCAUUAGCUAGUUGGUAAGGUAACGGCUUACCAAGGCAACGAUGCGUAGCCGACCUGAGAGGGUGAUCGGCCACACUGGAACUGAGACACGGUCCAGACUCCUACGGGAGGCAGCAGUAGGGAAUCUUCCGCAAUGGGCGAAAGCCUGACGGAGCAACGCCGCGUGAGUGAUGAAGGUCUUCGGAUCGUAAAACUCUGUUAUUAGGGAAGAACAAAUGUGUAAGUAACUAUGCACGUCUUGACGGUACCUAAUCAGAAAGCCACGGCUAACUACGUG